UACAGAGGGGGCAAGCGUUGUUCGGAAUUACUGGGCGUAAAGGGCGCGUAGGCGGCCUGCUAAGUCGAACGUGAAAUCCCUGGGCUCAACCCAGGAACUGCGUCCGAUACUGGUUGGCUUGAAUCCGGGAGAGGGAUGUGGAAUUCCAGGUGUAGCGGUGAAAUGCGUAGAUAUCUGGAGGAACACCGGUGGCGAAGGCGGCAUCCUGGACCGGUAUUGACACUGAGGCGCGAAAGCCAGGGGAGCAAACGGG
Molecule: ribosomal RNA, 253 nt
Filed under: uncultured bacterium
Lineage: Bacteria
Description: partial 16S ribosomal RNA
Rfam family: Bacterial small subunit ribosomal RNA
Source: RNAcentral